GACUGCAUCUUUCCUUUCUGCAGUCGCGGCUG
RNAcentral lists this non-coding RNA (32 nucleotides) under unclassified sequences. RNAcentral's name for it is "S4-Bacteroidia ribosomal protein leader". It matches the Rfam family "S4-Bacteroidia ribosomal protein leader". The record is from RNAcentral.